This 73-nucleotide transfer RNA is filed under the name Stegodyphus mimosarum. It matches the Rfam family "tRNA". From Rfam's summary of the family: Transfer RNA (tRNA) molecules are approximately 80 nucleotides in length. Their secondary structure includes four short double-helical elements and three loops (D, anti-codon, and T loops). Lineage: Eukaryota; Metazoa; Arthropoda; Arachnida; Araneae; Eresidae. The record is from Rfam by way of RNAcentral.
GCCUUCGUGGUGUAGUAGUCAGCACGCUCGACAGGUAUUCGAGAGGGCAAUGGUUCGAGUCCCGGCGAGAGCA